This 862-nucleotide long non-coding RNA is filed under the name Cricetulus griseus (Chinese hamster). RNAcentral describes it as "lncRNA (ENSCGRG00015029545.1)". Lineage: Eukaryota; Metazoa; Chordata; Mammalia; Rodentia; Cricetidae. The record is from RNAcentral.
AUUUCACCUGAAGCAGAAUUUUAAAACAUGAGCAUAUUUCACGCAACUGCCAUUUAAAAACAAAAGCUAAGAAGGCGAUGGAAAAAUACAAAAGAAAAUCAAGCUAUUUACUACAGCGCCACCAAGUGACCAACCUCGCAAUUCCCUGUAAAACCCAAACAGUAAAUAUGUAAAUGAAAAUGCUGUAGCCAGAAUCCCAGAGGGAUGCUCUGAUUGAACCACGGGAUUUCAGCAAAGAAAGAGGCCUUAACAGAAUAGAAAGGUCUUACUUGUAGUACAACAGAGCAUAAGUGAGUUCAUGGUUCAAAAUAUGAAGUGCAAAUAAGGCAGAUGACUGUGGAUAAAGUUGUAACAUUAGGUUCUGACUGGGCAACAAUCUGACAAAUGACACUGAGCUGGAAUGAUUUUGAAGGAGAAUCUGCCUGCAUCGCUUCCUGUAUUCUGUUUUAAAAUUCAGUUCUUGUGAAGACAAAGGUUCUGCUUACACAAAUGGACUUGAGAGAAACAUUGUUCCCAGCUUAAUUACCCGACAAGAUGGAGUCAGUCUCUAGGUAGAAACUGUUCAAAUGUGGCAGACAGGCUUGCAGUCAGCUUGCUUUAGAAGGCUUUGCCAAACUGUCCCGAAGAUGGCGCCACGUGCUCAGCUUUAGAAAAGCCUGCCUGUGCCUUUCAGGCUGGUGUGUGAAAUCACCAAGCUCCAAACACGGACACAGAUCUGUAGGGACUGUUGCCUGGAAAUACCAUUCCUCUGUUAAAGCGUGAAGAUUAAAAGUAUGAUUGGAUUAUCUCUAAUUUUUUCAUUUGGUGGAGAGAGUACAGAAAAAGAUAAUUCAAGAAGUAUUUCUUUGAGGUUAAAUCUAUA